Molecule: RNA transcript, 1657 nt
Organism: Eutrema salsugineum
Lineage: Eukaryota; Viridiplantae; Streptophyta; Magnoliopsida; Brassicales; Brassicaceae
Exons: 3
Source: RefSeq, a predicted model, not a curated record
UACCAAAAACAAAACAAAAGAAUAAUAUGAGGGUGUUUAGUUGUAAUAUCCACGAUAUGGAAUAGCAAAACCGGUUUAAACCGUUAUUAAUGUCCGCUAACCGAAAAACUCAGUUGGUUCAACUAUUGGGGCAGGUGACCAGAUCGUGCUCGAUUCCUCUCUGGGCUCUGGCGUCGUGCGGAUCGGACAAAAGGUUCUCUUGGCUACUACAAAUCCGACCAAGACUAAAACCCUCCGGGUCCGAGUGAGUCUUGUCGAGCGAUCAUCGGAAAAAAAUGGGAGGGAUGUUGUACAAGCUCUUCGCGUCGGCGUCGCUGCUAACCCUUGGAUUGUAUCAUCUCAUUUGCACUUUCUUCCAUGUUCUCAAGUCUCCUCAAUCCUACGCCGCAAAGCCCUUCUACGCUUUUCCCCGUUUCUCCACCGCCGGUAAUAACAACCACCGUCUCCACAACGCACCGUUGAUCAUCCUCAUACUCUCUCUAUUCGUCGCUUUCCUCCACCAAACCAUAAUCUCCUUCUACUCCGAUCCUCUUGUCAAAGGAAGUACCCCCGUUCACCGAUUCUCCUCCCUCAAUUCCGCCGCCGUGUUCUUCCUCUUCCUCCUCGUCGCCGUCUACCUCCUCCUCUCGGAAUCCACCUCCUUAAUCCCCCUUCCCUCCGAUCUCCUCUUCGCACUCGCCUCCGGUGGUUUCUUCCUCCAUUACUCCUCCGCCUCCUCAUCGGCCUCAAUCCAGACAUCGGAUCUUCAAGCUCACUGCGAUUCCCUCUCCGCUCGAAUCUCCGCCUUGUGCUCACUCCUCUGCUUGCUCCUCGCUUGCCGCCCCAGGCUCUUCAUCGCUGACGCUGCCCUCGCUGCCGCCAUUUGUCUUCAGGGUCUCUGGCAGCUCCAGACCGGGCUCUCUCUCUACGUCGAUGGCUUCAUUCCAGAGGGAUGUCAUCGUCUUCUUGAUGUUGCGAGUGGUGUUGAAGGAUCAACCAAGUGUGAUAUCCAGGAGUCCAAGCUAAGAGCUGUGUCCAUCUUGGAUUUCAUGUUUACUGUCCACGUCGUGCUUGUGGUCAUCCUCCUCUUUGUGACCUACACGAUGGUGGCCAUGGCUGCGGGAGUGAGAAGAACCGGUUCGUACGAGGCUUUGCCGACCAAUUCUAAUGAUUCUAAUCACAUUCAGAUGAAGUCUUUGACCGGAACUCAGGCCUGAACCUGUCAAAAUUGGUGAAAGAUAGAGAAGGUGAUAGAUACAAUGAGGAUAAAACUACUUUCGAAGUGAAUUUGCGCCGGAAACUCUAGAACUAAGCUAAGGCAGUCUCAUGUCAUAGAAGGCAAAAGAAGAGGAACACAAGGCAGACUAGUUAAUCAGGAAAAGAGACGUAAAUCAAGCCUAUCUCCUCGGGCCAUUUGUUACAAUGGGCCCAAGCCUAAGCCCAAAUAUGUCAUGUACAUAUUUGUAUUUGUAUCUGUAUGCUUAAUAGCUUGAAAUCUGGACGAGUACGCGUGCGAAGGGGAAUGGUGAAACCUUAGUGGUUAAGUCAUGGAAAAAAAGAUAAAAACAAUCAAAUGAGAGCUUCAAACGGACAAAAAGUAACCUUAUGGUGGUGCGAAUAUUGAUGUGUAUUUUUCUCACUCUUUUAUUGCUGAAAGCUACACUUGCCUUAAUGUAUU